CGGACAGCAAUAUAGAGGUCAGGCUGAAGACUUACCCGAUUAGCUGAGAGGUGGUGCAUGGCCGUCGUCAGUUCGUACUGUGAAGCAUCCUGUUAAGUCAGGCAACGAGCGAGACCCACGUCCACAGUUGCCAGCAUACCCUCCGGGGUGAUGGGUACACUGUGGAGACCGCCGCUGCUAAAGCGGAGGAAGGAGUGGGCAACGGUAGGUCAGUAUGCCCCGAAUCUCCCGGGCUACACGCGGGCUACAAUGGUUGGUACAAUGGGCAUCUACCCCGAAAGGGGAAGGAAAUCUCUUAAAGCCAAUCGUAGUUCGGAUUGAGGGCUGCAACUCGCCCUCAUGAAGCUGGAAUCCGUAGUAAUCGCGUUUCAACAGAACGCGGUGAAUACGUCCCUGCUCCUU
This 402-nucleotide ribosomal RNA is filed under the name uncultured Methanosaeta sp. Its description in RNAcentral is "bacterial SSU rRNA". It matches the Rfam family "Archaeal small subunit ribosomal RNA", at positions 936 to 1338 of the family's 1478-position model. The record is from RNAcentral. Lineage: Archaea; Methanobacteriati; Methanobacteriota; Methanomicrobia; Methanotrichales; Methanotrichaceae.